CGGGGGGAGCAAGCGUUGUUCGGAUUUACUGGGCGUAAAGGGCGCGUAGGCGGUCAGCACAAGUCAGUUGUGAAAUCUCCGAGCUUAACUCGGAAAGGUCAACUGAUACUGUGCGACUAGAGUGCAGAAGGGGCAACUGGAAUUCUCGGUGUAGCGGUGAAAUGCGUAGAUAUCGAGAGGAACACCUGCGGCGGAGGCGGGUUGCUGGGCUGACACUGACGCUGAGGCGCGAAAGCUAGGGGAGCGAACGGGAUUAGAUACCCCGGUAGUCCUAGCCUUAAACGAUGAAUGCUUGGUGUCUGGGGUUAUAUAGUCCCCGGGUGCCGUCGCUAACGCUUUAAGCAUUCCGCCUGGGGAGUACGGUCGCAAGACUG
This 374-nucleotide ribosomal RNA is filed under the name uncultured organism. RNAcentral's name for it is "bacterial SSU rRNA". It matches the Rfam family "Bacterial small subunit ribosomal RNA", at positions 526 to 896 of the family's 1533-position model. The record is from RNAcentral.